This 45-nucleotide non-coding RNA is filed under the name Schistosoma haematobium. Lineage: Eukaryota; Metazoa; Platyhelminthes; Trematoda; Strigeidida; Schistosomatidae. The record is from RNAcentral.
AUCCAAUUGACGAGUCCCAAACCGGACGAAACACGCAUCCUAGAU